AACAGAAGAGUUUGUGCCAUGGCUUUAAAUCCAUACGUAGAGAAAUAACAACACAGACUCUUUCAAGGCCCCGUAUUUGGAACGAGCACAUUUUAAAUCCUUGAGAGAGGUUUGAAUGGAGGGCAAGUCUGGUGCCAGCAGCUGUGGAAAUUCCAGCUCCAAUAGCCUAUAUUAAAGUUACUGCAGUUAAAAAGCUCGUAGUUGGAUGUUGGGAUCGAGCUGGCCAUCUGCCAUGAAGUGAGCCACCCCAUGGCCCAGCCCCUGCCUCUUGGCACCCCCUCGAUGCUCUUAGCUGACUGUCCUGUGGGGUACAAUGCGUUCACUUUGAGAAAAUUAGAGUGUUCAGAGCAGGCCGGGCACUGGCAUACUGCGGCUAGGAAUAACGCAACAGGACCAGGACAGCUGGCAAAGGCCACAGGGUGGUCAGCUUCGACAGGGAGCCCAUGCAGACCAAGUCCAAGAGCAAAGAGGAGCCUGACCCUGGUGAUGAAGA
RNAcentral lists this non-coding RNA (493 nucleotides) under Columba livia (rock pigeon). RNAcentral's name for it is "Eukaryotic small subunit ribosomal RNA". It matches the Rfam family "Eukaryotic small subunit ribosomal RNA", at positions 427 to 871 of the family's 1831-position model. Lineage: Eukaryota; Metazoa; Chordata; Aves; Columbiformes; Columbidae. The record is from Rfam by way of RNAcentral.